AGUAGAAUCACAUAAACCCGAAGUUUUGAGAAGAUGAACAGUUUUCAAAGCAAAAAUCGGAAAAGAUGUGGAAAAUACUUUAAAAUCUAAGAAAAUAGCACGGAUCUAAAGUAGAUCUUAUAGAGAAACAAGAAAACCUCGAGGGCUUAGGGUUUCAGGGAAAACCCUAAAUAAUGUUAAAGACCUGGAACGGGCUGGUCCUGAGUCGGAGGUGGACUUACAGGGCUAGGACUCACCAGAGACGAGCCGGAAAGGGCCAUAGAACUUGAAUCGGAGAGUUUCUGUGCUGGGUUCUUCAAGGUCAGACCUUGAAUCUUCAUACAAAAGGAGUAUAAGGACACGUGGGGGUGGGUAUAGGCCACACAGGGCCUAACAUGCCAUGGUUUCUGGUGAAAUAAGGUCGGAGACCAGUGAAAUAGGCUAGGGUUUCGGAGAGAGGUUGACAGCAUUUUUGAUCUGAAGGGGAUACAAGGGCGG
Molecule: long non-coding RNA, 477 nt
Filed under: Nicotiana benthamiana
Lineage: Eukaryota; Viridiplantae; Streptophyta; Magnoliopsida; Solanales; Solanaceae
Description: long non-coding RNA (NBEN_LNC036071)
Source: RNAcentral